UGGUAGAGGGUAGUGGAAUUCCCGGUGUAGCAGUGAAAUGCGUAGAGAUCGGGAGGAACAUCCAUGGCGAAGGCAGCUACCUGGACCAACACUGACACUGAGGCACGAAAGCGUGGGGAGCAAACAGGAUUAGAUACCCUGGUAGUCCACGCCCUAAACGAUGCGAACUGGAUGUUGGGUGCAAUUUGGCACGCAGUAUCGAAGCUAACGCGUUAAGUUCGCCGCCUGGGGAGUACGGUCGCAAGACUGAAACUCAAAGGAAUUGACGGGGGCCCGCACAAGCGGUGGAGUAUGUGGUUUAAUUCGAUGCAACGCGAAGAACCUUACCUGGUCUUGACAUGUCGAGAACUUUCCAGAGAUGGAUUGGUGCCUUCGGGAACUCGAACACAGGUGCUGCAUGGCUGUCGUCAGCUCGGUUCCUG
Molecule: ribosomal RNA, 422 nt
Filed under: Stenotrophomonas sp. SN12(2013)
Lineage: Bacteria; Pseudomonadati; Pseudomonadota; Gammaproteobacteria; Lysobacterales; Lysobacteraceae
Description: bacterial SSU rRNA
Rfam family: Bacterial small subunit ribosomal RNA
Source: RNAcentral